CCUACGGGAGGCAGCAGUGAGGAAUAUUGGUCAAUGGGCGUAAGCCUGAACCAGCCAAGUCGCGUGAGGGAUGAAGGUUCUAUGGAUCGUAAACCUCUUUUAUAAGGGAAUAAAGUGUGGGACGUGUCCUGUUUUGUAUGUACCUUAUGAAUAAGGAUCGGCUAACUCCGUGCCAGCAGCCGCGGUAAUACGGAGGGUCCGAGCGUUAUCCGGAUUUAUUGGGUUUAAAGGGUGCGUAGGCGGCCUUUUAAGUCAGCGGUGAAAGUCUGUGGCUAAACCAUAGAAUUGCCGUUGAAACUGGAAGUCUUGAGUAUGUUUGAGGCAGGCGGAAUGCGUGGGGGAGCGGUGAAAUGCUUAGAUAGCACGCAGAACCCCGAUUGCGAAGGCAGCCUGCCAAGCCAUGACUGACGCUGAUGCACGAAAGCGUGGGGAUCAAACAGGAUUAGAUACCCCGGUAGUC
RNAcentral lists this ribosomal RNA (460 nucleotides) under uncultured bacterium. RNAcentral describes it as "partial 16S ribosomal RNA". It matches the Rfam family "Bacterial small subunit ribosomal RNA", at positions 338 to 795 of the family's 1533-position model. The record is from RNAcentral.